RNAcentral lists this ribosomal RNA (426 nucleotides) under uncultured Actinomycetes bacterium. Its description in RNAcentral is "bacterial SSU rRNA". It matches the Rfam family "Bacterial small subunit ribosomal RNA", at positions 233 to 671 of the family's 1533-position model. The record is from RNAcentral. Lineage: Bacteria; Bacillati; Actinomycetota; Actinomycetes.
GCGGCCUAUCAGCUUGUUGGUGAGGUAAUGGCUCACCAAGGCGACGACGGGUAGCCGGCCUGAGAGGGCGACCGGCCACACUGGGACUGAGACACGGCCCAGACUCCUACGGGAGGCAGCAGUGGGGAAUAUUGGGCAAUGGAGGGAACUCUGACCCAGCGACGCCGCGUGCGGGAUGAAGGCCUUCGGGUUGUAAACCGCUUUCAGCAGGGAAUAAGCGCAAGUGAAGGUACCUGCAGAAGAAGCACCGGCUAACUAUGUGCCAGCAGCCGCGGUAAUACAUAGGGUGCAAGCGUUGUCCGGAAUUAUUGGGCGUAAAGAGAUCGUAGGUGGUUUGUUACGUCGGAUGUGAAAUUCAGGGGCUCAACCCCUGACUUGCAUCCGAUACGGGCAAGCUAGAGUUUGGUAGGGGAGACUGGAAUUCCU